This is a long non-coding RNA of Rosa chinensis, 890 nucleotides long. RefSeq lists it as uncharacterized. NCBI's taxonomy places the organism in Eukaryota, Viridiplantae, Streptophyta, Magnoliopsida, Rosales, Rosaceae. The record is from RefSeq and is a predicted model, not a curated record. The transcript has 3 exons.
UUUAGCUCCCCUGCUUAUAAGCACAAGAGGACUAUGCGUUUGGUUAGCUGACUUAUGCUCAGCUUAUUCGAAAAGCCACUACAGCUUCUCUCGAAAAGGAGAAGCUGCCUGACCCCAGCUUUCAGAAGCCAGAAGCCAGCAGCUUACUGUAGCGGUACUUACUGUAGCUAAAUGAAUGUUUCAAAAUGACAGAUUCUAUCCUCCCUUGGGAGAGGCAAUUACGGAUUGCCAUCAAGCCUUCGAGAUGAGAUCAGAGGCCGCACAACAUUUUCAUCUCUAUCCCAUCUCCACUCUCCCUCUGACGCCGCCGGGCUCUCAUCACAGACGCCGCCUCACUCUCCCUCUGACGCCGCCUCCCUCUCCCUCUGACGCCGCCUCAGCCUCUCAUCACGAAAACCCCAAGCACAGAGCAAUCGAGCCAAACACCAUCACAUCAUGACCUGAACCCACAUCCUCCCCCAAUUUUAGAUCGGGAAGCCAGCUUUUCUUCAUCCUCUCUUUACUACAGAACGCAUCCUGGUUUCCCAGCACAGGAAGCUAGCUAGCAGGUAGCAGAAAAAGAGAUCAGAUCAGAAAAGUGGUGCAGGUCUCAUAUUAUAGCUAGUAAAGGCUUGCAAUAAAUUGGGGUGCUCAAAUGGUGAUGAAGAAGAAGACAAGGAAGUUGGUUGGAAAUACCUUCAUGGUGAUGUUUUCAGACAACCUUCAAACAUACCACUGUUUUGUGCCGUCUUGUUCAAGAUCCAAAGACACCGAUCUGGAAAACCUCGGAAAGGAUGUUAUUCAUCAUUCUUGAAUUAUUGAUAUGGAUUUUGAAAUACCAAAGUUUUGUACAGAUACUUGAUUAGAUUCAAGCAGAUCCUAUUUUUUCAUUAGUCCAUUUGAUCAGAGAG